UAAGUUAUUCCCUCAAAGGACAAAUAUUU
RNAcentral lists this non-coding RNA (29 nucleotides) under Rattus norvegicus (Norway rat). Lineage: Eukaryota; Metazoa; Chordata; Mammalia; Rodentia; Muridae. The record is from RNAcentral.